Molecule: small RNA, 69 nt
Filed under: Staphylococcus aureus
Lineage: Bacteria; Bacillati; Bacillota; Bacilli; Caryophanales; Staphylococcaceae
Description: 5'UTR
Source: RNAcentral
ACCUUUUCAGGAGGUAAUUUUAAUUCACGAUCAACAGCUAAUGAUUGUGCUGCAAAUGCUUCAUUUAAU